GACCUUUACUUUCUUCUGCUCUUCUCCUUUUCCUCCUUUUACAGCUUUCCUCUGCACCAAAACAGGUCAAAGCUUGCUUUCUUCCAAUCCUGCUACUUUGUACAAAUGGACGAUUUCAGACUUCAAACUUGUGGCUCCCAAGACCAAGAAGACUGCGCAUAUAACCAGGGUUUUGGAGUAUUGAUUUUCAACAAUGAUUUCCCGUAAUUUACAUUUCGUGGCUCCCUAGCGAUUUCUCUGAGGUUUUUGGUUUGCUGAUCGGUUUAAGGGCGUGCUCACAUUUCACAUAUUCCAUCUCAUGCGCUACACCAUCUGAACUGUUGUGGAUAGCUACGUGCCUACGUUGUACAAAGUGACCAAGGAUGAAUCAUACUUGAAAUAUUUGUUGGGCAUGUGAGGAUUGCUUCCCCAAAGUGGUACAAGUGUACAACUUUUAUUUAUUAAUAAUAUUGUUCUUAUUAGUUUGCCAUUAUUUUUCAAUUGUGUAUGCUUGAUGAACUUUUAGUAACUGAUAUAUUGCUAGAUUCUAGCUAUAUUCUUAUGUUGUAGAUAUAUGAUAACUUGUGUAUUGAUUCUUUUGUUAA
This is a long non-coding RNA of Cynara cardunculus var. scolymus (artichoke), 584 nucleotides long. RefSeq lists it as uncharacterized. Lineage: Eukaryota; Viridiplantae; Streptophyta; Magnoliopsida; Asterales; Asteraceae. The transcript is spliced from 3 exons. The record is from RefSeq and is a predicted model, not a curated record.